This 1012-nucleotide long non-coding RNA is filed under the name Marmota monax (woodchuck). Lineage: Eukaryota; Metazoa; Chordata; Mammalia; Rodentia; Sciuridae. The record is from RNAcentral.
GUUCUGAUCACUUACUCCUAUCAUAUAACCUUUCCUUUUAUUUAUGAAGAAUGUCAGUGUGAUUAGAUAGGAACUCUGAAAUUCCUAUUGCUCAGUCUGAGUGUGUGUCCUCUCUUCUAUUCAAAGCAAUGUUGAAAUGUCCCUAUUCUUCAGAACACUUGACCCCACCAUUGUCACCAUUCAUAGACUUCAUAGGUGAAUUUCUAAUAUCUAAUUUCUUCUUUGAAGACUUGUAUGUUUUACCACCCAUUCUUUGGAAACAAUAGUUCACGUAAUGCAGUGAUUCAAGAGACACAGAAAAUUUUAAGGCAGAACAAAGAAGAACUUUCAGUAUUCUAAGGCAGUCAUAGAAGGUUUACAGAUCAUUCCCGUUUCAAGGUUGAUCCUUGCAUUUGUGUUUUCCAGUCUGUGAUGAAUAAUCCUUUUUUGUUCUCUGCCUUCCUCUCCCUCCUGCCUAAGGCUUGAUGUGUUUGCUUUCUAUUGUUGUCAUAAGAAACAAUCACACAUUUAAUAGCUUACAACAACAAACAUCUCAUAGUUUCUGUAAUUCAGAAAUCUGGGUAAGAAUCUGCUUUGAAGCUCACUUGGGCUGUUGGUUUAAGUCAGUGCUCUGUAGGGCUGAGGUUUCCAUUCCCUUGGGAAGGAUUCAGCUGUGGCUUGCCCACAUUAACUCUUACACUUUCCAGUUGAGUCCUUCAAGUAAUGAUGGAAGAGUGCCUCUUAUGCUUUGAAUUUCUGACUUAUCUGCCUCAUUGUUGUGACUCUAGCCUUGAAAAUUCUGUGCUGUUAAGGGCUUGUUGUGAUUUAAUUAGAUCCACCUGAAUCAUCCAAAAGGAAAAAGAACAAUCCCCAUCUUAUGAUGCAUAAUCUUAACAGAGUCCUCAAAGUUCCUGAAACAUAGUAUAUUCGUAAGUUCAGAACAUGGAAAUGUUUGGGGAGGCAUUCUGUGUGCCAUAUUCACCUCAAUAACGUUCACUUAUUCUUUAAGAGAUGACAGCACUGCUAAGUGACC